This 29-nucleotide non-coding RNA is filed under the name Homo sapiens (human). The record is from RNAcentral. Lineage: Eukaryota; Metazoa; Chordata; Mammalia; Primates; Hominidae.
UAAUCGAAAUACCAAAGGGUACUGACCUC